UCUUCCCUACGGGACGCAGCAGUGGGGAAUAUUGCACAAUGGGGGGAACCCUGAUGCAGCAAUGCCGCGUGGGUGAAGAAGCACUCCGGUGCGUAAAGCCCUGUCAGCAGGGAAGAAAAUGACAGUACCUGGACAAGAAGCCCCGGCUAACUACGUGCCAGCAGCCGCGGUAAUACGUAGGGGGCAAGCGUUAUCCGGAUUUACUGGGUGUAAAGGGAGCGCAGGCGGCGUGGCAAGUCAGAUGUGAAAAGCCGGGGCCCAACACCGGGAGUGCAGUUGAAACUGCCAUGCUGGAGUGACGGAGG
RNAcentral lists this ribosomal RNA (305 nucleotides) under uncultured bacterium. RNAcentral's name for it is "bacterial SSU rRNA". It matches the Rfam family "Bacterial small subunit ribosomal RNA", at positions 333 to 655 of the family's 1533-position model. The record is from RNAcentral.